RNAcentral lists this ribosomal RNA (491 nucleotides) under uncultured bacterium. RNAcentral's name for it is "partial 16S ribosomal RNA". It matches the Rfam family "Bacterial small subunit ribosomal RNA", at positions 28 to 507 of the family's 1533-position model. The record is from RNAcentral.
GAUGAACGCUGGCUACAGGCUUAACACAUGCAAGUCGAGGGGAAACGACGGGGAAGCUUGCUUCCCCGGGCGUCGACCGGCGCACGGGUGAGUAACGCGUAUCCAACCUGCCCCUGACUGAGGGAUAACCCGUCGAAAGUCGGCCUAAUACCUCAUGGCAUCGUCUGCGGGCAUCCAACGACGAUUAAAGAUUUCAUCGGUCAGGGAUGGGGAUGCGUCUGAUUAGCUUGUUGGCGGGGUAACGGCCCACCAAGGCUACGAUCAGUAGGGGUUCUGAGAGGAAGGUCCCCCACAUUGGAACUGAGACACGGUCCAAACUCCUACGGGAGGCAGCAGUGAGGAAUAUUGGUCAAUGGGCGGGAGCCUGAACCAGCCAAGUAGCGUGCAGGAUGACGGCCCUAUGGGUUGUAAACUGCUUUUAUGCGGGGAUAAAGUGAGGGACGUGUCCUUCAUUGCAGGUACCGCAUGAAUAAGGACCGGCUAAUUCCGUG